Molecule: ribosomal RNA, 375 nt
Filed under: Triticum aestivum (bread wheat)
Lineage: Eukaryota; Viridiplantae; Streptophyta; Magnoliopsida; Poales; Poaceae
Description: partial small subunit ribosomal RNA
Source: RNAcentral
AUGAAUGAAAGGAAGAAUUUGAUCUCUGUUUUUGCUUGUAGGAACUUUUCUGAGCUUUUGUAUGUUCCGUCUACAUCACAAGCGGUCUUCCGAUUGUGUCGAGUGCAUCACAAAGGCGCAGGAGGAAAAAGGAAGAAUCAGCCAAAAUCUGACAAGAUGCAAAGGCACAUAUCAAGUGUGUACCACAGUCAAAGGGAUUCAGUCCAGUUAUUAAGAUUUCUUUGCAUCCAAAUUACUUAUCAAAUGGUUUUUAGUGAGUUGGAGGAGGCCUUGGUUCUAACAUUUGAAAAAAAAAUCUCUAGGUGUGGGCAUACGUCAAGCUGUCGCUUGAGACCGCCAUCAUGCUCUGCUGCAAAGUUUUGUAUCUCUUCAUGA